AAAACUCAGACAAAGAGCGGUCAGGUGAGAGGAUAAACAAGGACACAAGAGUCCCGGCCUUUGUGAGGGGAGAAUAAUGGCUUGAGGUUGUCAGCAGCUAGCAAAUUCCAUGGCCCCCUACCCGGCCCUCCCCUUCCCUACCGGGAAGGCUGCGAAUGAGACGCCAGCUGCAGCUUGCAGUGUCAGGGCCAGGAAGCCUGUGGGGCCUCGGGAAAUGGUUUGCGGUAUCUCUGGCUCUCUUGGGUCGCCCCACGGCGAGUUGGCUGUCCAUCUUUGCAACCUGGCCGACCGCCACCCAUGACUGUAGAGAGAGCUGUCCACAGACGGCCUGGCCCCGAGCUCCUCGGAGACACCGGGAUCACUCUCCACCUUCGAUCCCCUCUUUGAUCUCCUCAACAACGAGUAUCAAGGAGUGUUUCUCUCUCUCCAAGUGACAGGUGGGGACAGCGAUGGGCACUGCUGUCCUAAUGCUUUCUGGACUCCUUUGGGAGGUGUGUUCAGAGCCCCGCUCGGUGCUCCUCAGAGUUUAAGGUACGGGAGAGUCACCUGGGAAUCUUGGCGAAAACGUGGGUUCUGAUUCAGCAGGUGUAGGGUGGGGAGCUGCGAUUCCGAAGUUCUACUCAGGCCCCAGGUGAUACCAAUGCUGCUGGUCCGUGGACCACAUCUUGCAUAAAAGGGCCCCGGAGCCGCCCCUCAGUCUGCUUGCGAAGAGCUCGUGGUCCGUGCAGCAAGACGCCCGUGCUUCUUGACCACUCGCCGGACGCCCCUGCGAAGCUGUCCUUGGCUCUGCUCAGCCCCGCAGUGCACUUGGCCUGAGUGUUUCUGACCCAAGCUUGUGCAAGUCUAAAGUAACCCACUGGGAAAUUCUCUUAGAAGCAGUAUUCAGCUGCUUGAAUUUGGGAUUUGGGGAAAGCCAGAAUGUCCUCAAACUCAGAAAUAUCAGCAGUGGAGGUAAAAACCACAGAUUGGAGACACAGAGCUCCCUUGAUGAUUCUGAACCCCCAUGACUUCUGAGUGGGAAGACGGAGAAAGCCCUGCAAGACAGCCAGGAUUUGCCACGGAUGCAGCUGAAAAGUCUGAGAAGAAGGACAAGUAGAUUUCCUUCGUGACGAGCACUGCGUUCUACUUCGUAGAAGCACCCAACAGAGAACUAAGGAGUGGUCUUGAGUCUGGGGAAGAAAGUCAAGAAGCACUUGGAGGACAUAUUUUUGAAGGGUGUUACUUUGGCCAACACACCGAUAGACACAGGUUCUGCAAGGAAGUGUAAAUUUACUAGUACUGUAUGUAAUAUGAUACGAUACAGCGCCAGGAAGUGCAAUAAACGCAAUACGCAAUAAGGUAGGGCAUGUAAUAGGAGGUAAUGUAACCUAAUAUAAUCCUAUCUAUCGAUACAAUAUAACAGUAACUAAAUUUUAUUGAGCACUCAUCCUGUGAUAGACCUGCUACAAUGUACUCUCCUUGCAUGAAUACUUACGAUAUUCACAGUGCAUGUUCCAUUAUGACCCAGAGAUUGGUAACCUGCCCAAAGCCACUUCAUCAGAUGGUGGACUUGAGACUCUAGGGCCCAGGGCUGUCUGCCUCUGUCUGGUUUGCCUUUUCCCUACUGGGGUGUUAAGGAAUGUUGUGGUGACAAGACCAGGUGGUGGCAGCAGGCAAGACGGGGAGAGAGUUGAAGUGAAAAAUAGCUCAUUCGGCUGGCUAGGGAAAUAAAAGAAACAACACCAAAGAGUUAUUUUAAUUCUGCCCAAAUGUUCAGAGAACAAAAUAGUUAAAGGUUUCUUGUUAAACACAGUUCAGGAGAGUAAAGAAGAGGAAAUGCUGUACCGAUAGGAAUUAUACAAACAGAUAAACUUCUUUUUCCAGCAUAGAACCAUGAAAAUUUAUGCAUGCAUUAUGAAGGUCUUGCAAUUCAUUUGUACAUCUCCACAGUCCUUCUCUGCCUGGAUAGUUGAUUCAUUUCGUCACUAACUCCAACGCUCACUUUAUUCUUUCCUUCCUUCAUUUAUUUACCUAGUCACUUGUCAAAUGUUUAUUCAGACUCUUUCAUGCACCCCUACCAAAAAGGAUAAUGAAGGUUUAAGACUUAAAAACAAACAAACAAACAAAUAAACGAACAAAAAACAAAAA
Long non-coding RNA from Felis catus (domestic cat), 2127 nucleotides. RefSeq lists it as uncharacterized. The transcript is spliced from 3 exons. The record is from RefSeq and is a predicted model, not a curated record. Lineage: Eukaryota; Metazoa; Chordata; Mammalia; Carnivora; Felidae.